This 2174-nucleotide unclassified non-coding RNA is filed under the name Leishmania donovani. RNAcentral's name for it is "gene:LdHU3.30.1770(CDS-product:ATP-binding_casset te_protein_subfamily_H_member_3_putative)". Lineage: Eukaryota; Euglenozoa; Kinetoplastea; Trypanosomatida; Trypanosomatidae. The record is from RNAcentral.
CUUCCGGCAAAGCGGUGCGCCCGUCGCCCACGGACACACAUGCAUACAUGCGUACAUGCAGACCGAUAGACACACCACGAAGAUGGGACCGGAGACCAUACUGGCGGUCGACGAUGUCUCCUUCCAAUACCCCAACGCACCUGCCGCUUCGUUGAGGCAGGUGAGCGUUACGGCCUAUCGCGGAGAUCGAAUUCUCGUGAUCGGGCACAACGGGAGCGGCAAGUCGACACUGCUGUCUCUUCUCGCAGGCCGGCGAAAACCGCAAUCAGGGCGUGUGCGCGUGCUCGGACGCGAUCCGUUUGACGACACCAGUGUAGCUCAGCACAUCUCCAUGAUUGGUGCACCAUGGCCACCCGAGGCGGUGUUCGGCAACACUGUGGACCGCGUGGCCUCGCCGGCGCCGGUACCAGAGCGAAAGGCGAGUAUCGCCGACGCGCUGCACCUACGCCUCUCCCGCUUCUUGGAGAAGAUGAGCUGGGGCGAAAGGAGACGGGUUCAGAUCCUUUAUGGCAUGCUCUACCCCGCCACCGUGUACCUCCUCGACGAGUGCAGCACCGACAUCGACGUUGCAGAGCGGCGCACUGUGCUGGAACUGGUACGGCAGGAGUGCGAGGCGAAGGACGGGUGCUGCGUGUAUGCGACCCACAUUCUCGACGGAAUUGAAGGCUGGGCCACCCACCUGCUGCUCAUGGAGGGGGGCCGUGUGGUGGACUUCAAGGCGGUGGAAAAGCUCACCAUGCCCUUGGAGGACUACGCGCUCCAGUUCAUGAGCAAGCGCGCCCACGCUGCUCGCGGCUUCGACGCCGUGGCGGCGCCGUCGCUGUCGCAGGGGAGUUCUGCGGCCAUUUCAACGACGUUGUCAGCUUGCCCAACGACAUCUUCAGCCGCCUACCCAACCCCUUCGACAGCCGACGCGCCGGUCACGUAUUGGCCACGAGGGCACGCGGACGAGAAGCGAAGCGAAAUCGUCAUCAACUGUGCGCAGCUGAACUAUAAGGAUGUGUUUAAGAACUUGUCGUUUCAGGUGUUCCGCGGCGAGCGGGUGCUGCUGUGCGGCGGUAACGGCACUGGCAAGUCCACCUUGCUGAACAUGCUUGGCGGAAAGCAGUUCUUUGACAACCGCCACGGCUCUCUCUCCGUGCUUGGUAAGCGGUGCUACGAUGACAUGCUGCUGAACGCUCUUGUCAGCUACGGCGGCGAUUGGUGGACUGCCGUGCCCGGUGGGGAGGUGCACGUGCGCGAAAUGCUCCAGCUUCGGACCUCUCGUGCCGAGCGCUUGCGUGAGAUGCUGGCCGUGGACAUAGACUGGGAUGUGCGACACAUCAGCGCUGGAGAGCAGAAGCGUGUGCAACUGCUCUUGCACUUGCUGGAUGACAAGCCCGUCGUGCUGCUUGAUGAGGCGACCACCGACCUGGACGUUUAUCAGCGCCACAGCCUCCUGCAGUUCCUCUACGAAGAGAGCGUGCAGCGCGGGGUGACAGUCGUCUACUCGACGCACAUUUUCGGGGGUCUAGAGGGCUGGGCCAACGCUGUGGUACUACUGGACCGGACCAUGCGCGGCGUUCAUGCGGUGUGGCGCACCUCUGAAGGGAAGCCCAUCUCACUGCAGCGCGUCGUCGAUGCAAUCGUUGCUCUUAAGGCGCGAGAAGCCUUUUGAGCAGUAGCCUUCCUCACUACUGACAACACACUCGCGCACAAACACACGCGUGCGCACAAUCCGUUCAUCCUCUGGCCGCAAUCGUGGGGGCCGUCACGGCUGCUGUAGCCACACCUGCAACAUGCAGCCACCCCCCUGCCCCCUUUAAGGCUGGGGGAAUCGGAUGAACAAAAAACAAAACGGAGAGUGGCCCAAGAAGAGGCACACAUUCGUACAGAAGCAUGGCCGGGGGGGCAGCCAGAGGUGAUGCCACUGCUGGUGCGCCUUGUGGUGCGGCUACCCGUCCUUGGCCGCCUUGCGCAUAACAUUAUUGCGUGUCUUUUGAUCGGCGUAGUGCUCGCGUGUGCUGUAGUGGGUGGCUGGCGAUGCUUCACACGACCCGGAACGCCGACAAGGACAUUAAUGCUCCCCUUCCCCACCCUACAUGGGGCGGCUUCCUCAUGCUCUCUCUCUUUCACCCUUUUCCUUUUCAUGUCGUCACGCAUUUGCUUGCUCGCCGUGCCUCUUGGCCGAGUAG